CCCGUCGUCGGUCAGUGCCGGUGGAGGCCCGAAGGACGACGUGAUCUACAUCGGCGCAGCACCUACACUCACGCCAUGGACGUCUCCGGAUCUGCUCCUUCCGCCAACGACGGUCGAAACCCUAAACUAUUGAUCUAUAUGUUUCUACUAAAUUGUAAUAGAUCUAGUGUAUGCACAUAUAUAUAAAUGUCACUGUAUGCAUUGUUUUAUCCCGAAACCCCGUUCAUCCUAUUGCUAGUAGAUCCUGUAGAUCUAUCAAUGGUAUCGGCCGAUCUAGUAAUAGAUCGGGGUUUUCGGGUUUUACCCAGCAAGAACAGCAAGUAGAAGGAGAGGAUUUUCGAAUUCCUAACCCUAGCGCUCAGAUCCAAAACCCCAACCCUAGCACAAGAACCAGAUCAGGGAAGGGGAUUUCAAAACCCUAACCCUAAACAGCAAGGGGAAGGAGUACCCUUACCUGGGACUCACCUAUCCCGACCUCGUCUCCGGCCGUUUCUCCAUGGCGGGCGGGACGCAUGGGCAAGCUCAGGGCACCGCACACGAAACGCUCGACGGCGGCGCGCUCCGCAGUGAGCGAGCGCGCGCACCGGCGAGCGACCCGUUAGCGGCGCCAUCUCCUUCUCCGGCCGGUAGCGUUCUGCUGUGGGGCGCGGUGUGGGCUGGGAAGAAAAGCACAGAGAAAGAGAAAGAAAGGCACCAGCGGCUCCUUCUCACCGGCGUCGGGCCACCUCGGCCGCGGCUGCUGUAGGCGCUGUGCGCCGUCAAGAAGCAAGAGAGAGAGGGCGACGGCGGUGGCCCUGCUGCCGGGCACGGUGCCGGCGGCGGCGGCUCCCUGCUGUCCAUGCGCUGAGAGAGAGAGACAGAGAGAAGAGAGAGAGGGUGCAGGCAAGAAUGGCUAGGGUUUUCGGGUGUAGCAAGCUGGAUGGGGUUUUUGAUCACCCGAUAUCCAAGCACAGCCGUCGGAUCUCAUCCAAUGGCUGAGAUUGGCCAGAAACGAUGUUGGGCCGCUUUCGGCCCAGGCGGGGGCGAGCUUUCCCGGCCCAGGCCCAGGUUGCGGCCUGGGCGCGGGGGAGGAGCGAGCGGGUGGGCCAUUUCCACUACUGGGCCGCCAGCCGAAGCAAACAAAAAAAAACGGCUGGGCCUGGGCACUGCGCGCUGCUGGGCCAGCGCCUGAGCUGCUUGCCGCGGGCCGCAAGUGGCCAUGGGCCAAAUGGUUGGCCGCGGCCCGUCUAAGCAUGUAACUCCUUUUUACAUUCUAUUAUAUUUUCAGAAGCAUUUAAAUAUUUAUUUAGCUCAGUUUUAAAUUCUAUUUAAUUUGCACCAACGUGUAUAUUAAUUAGAAAGCACAGUCAGCUAAUUAUGCUUCUGAAAAUAGCAAGUAAAUUAAUGUUUUUCCGCUGCGCAAGUUAUUAUUUCGUUCUCAUAUUAAAUUGAACCAACGAGAUAUUUAAUUUGAGACACGAGUUUUAAAGCCUAGAAUCUUUUGUGAUGUUGUUAUUUUUUGACCAACGUUAAUAAUAGCAAUAUUGCAAAUUCCGAGUUCUAUUUUUAUGCAUUUAUUCUAUUCUGCCCAACGGUGAUUAGAAUUUUAUGUAGAGAGUUAAUUUUUGUAUAUCUUGAUUUUGACCAACGUUAAAUUAAGAUAUGCAAUUAUUUUUCCUAGAUUUAAUGUCAAUGUUCUCACUAUUUUCUCAUAUUUAAUUUCAGACCAAGCACUCAAUGCGAUGCACUUCAUUAGUGCAAUCCCAAAGCUGACGGGACAGAACUAUGUUCUGUGGCGCGAGGAACUUGAUGCUGCUCUAGCACUUGCUGAGAUAGAUUUGGCUCUUCAGGAGCCAAAGCCCACUGAGCCAGAGGAGCCCGAAAGGGCUCAGAAUGAGACCGACGAAGCUUUUGCUAAUCGGAAGCGAGACUUUGCUCCCAUCAGAGCAAAGUAUGAUCUUGAGAAAUACAAGUGGGAAAAGUCAAACCGCAAGUGCAAGAUUGUCAUCAAGAAAACCAUCACAGAGGGCCUAAGAGGUGCCAUCCCAGAAUGUGAGACAGCAAAAGAAUACCUUGAGAAAGUGAAGAAUCAGUUUACUGGUUCCACCAAAGCCCAUGCUUCCACCCUGAUCCAGAAACUCACUAACAUGAGGUUCACAGGGGGGAGUGUGAGAGAGCACAUUCUGAGCAUGAGCACCAUGGCAGCCAAGUUAGAGAAGCUAAAGAUGCCCCUUGCUGAUGGUUUCCUCAUUCACCUAGCUCUAAACUCACUUCCUAAAGAGUAUGAGACAUUUGUUGUUAACUACAACACACAGCCAGAGGAGUGGGAUUUAGAGAAGGUGAUUGCUAUGUGUGUGCAAGAGGAAGAAAGGCUCAAGAAUGCAAAUGGUGGUUCUGUGAACUUUGUGAAAGGAAAGAACAAGAAGCCAUUCUACAACAAGAAAGCUCCAGAUGCCUCCACCUUCCAGAACAAGGGAGGAAGCUCUUCACAGCCUAAAGCACAGCCAAAGCAAGACAACCAGCACAGGCAGGAGGACCCGGAUCGCUGUAGAUGGUGUAAUGAGACAGGGCAUUGGAAGCAUGACUGCCCUAAGUUCAUGAAACAUUGCCUAGUGAAAGGUGAGGACAUUAUAACUUUUGUUGAUGAAUCCUUAUAUCUAAGUUAUGCUAGAUCCACAUGGUGGAUUGACUCAGGUGCAACUGUUCAUGUUGCAAACUCUUUGCAGGGAUUCAGUGGAGGGAGAACCCUUCAAAGAGGAGAAAGACAGAUUAAGGUGGCCACUGGUGUUGAAGCUGAAGUUCAAGCUAUAGGAAAUUUAUCUCUAGAUUUAGCUAGUGGCUUCACCCUUGAGUUGCAUGAUGUUCUUUAUGUUCCCUCUUUAGCUAGAAAUUUAAUUUCAGUUUCAUGUUUGUCAGACUAUGGUUUUGAUUGCCAUUUCAGCAAGAAUGAUUGUAAGCUACAGUUAAAUAAUAAAUGUGUGGGUCUUGCCUUCCGACAAGACAAACUUUAUUUAUUAUCUUUGUCUGAGAAUGUGAAUGCUGAAUGUAAUAAUGCUGAGAAUGCAAUACCCGCAGAUGCUAGCAAGAAAAGAAAGAGAAUUGAUUCCUCAUCGAAAUUAUGGCACUGCCGUUUAGGCCAUAUUUCGAGGGGGAGAAUAGAACGCUUAGUCAAAGAAUCAAUCCUCCCACCAUUAGAACUCUCAGAGUUAGAGCAAUGCGUUGAUUGCAUUAAAGGCAAGUUAGUAAAGAACAUAAAGAAAGGCGCUAAGCGAAGCAUGGGAGUACUAGAAUUGAUCCACACAGACAUCUGUGGACCUUUUCCAGUGACAUCUGUGGAUGGUUUUGAUUCCUUCAUCACAUUCACAGAUGACUACUCUCGUUUUGGAUACAUCUAUCCAAUCAAAGAACGCUCAGAAGCUUUAGACAAAUUUAAGAUAUUCAAGGCUGAGGUUGAAAACCAACUAGACAGAAAAAUUAAAGUAGUAAGAUCUGACCGUGGGGGGGAGUACUACGGUCGACAUACCCCUUAUGGACAAGUUCCUGGACCUUUUGCAAGGUUCUUACAGGAAAAUGGCAUAGUAGCCCAGUAUUCAAUGCCAGGGGACCCACAGCAGAAUGGAGUAGCAGAAAGGCGUAACCGUACUCUAAUGGAUAUGGUGCGCAGCAUGAUGAGCUAUUCCACUCUGCCACUGAGUUUGUGGAUGGAGGCCUUAAAAACCGCCAUUCAUAUUCUCAACAGAGUUCCAAGCAAGUCAGUACUUAAAACCCCGUAUGAGUUGUGGAUCGGCAGGAAACCCUCAGUCAACCAUCUGCGUGUCUGGGGGAGCCCCGCUGAAGCAAAAGUGUUUAACCCAAACAUAGGAAAGCUAGACCCCAAAACAGUAAGUUGUCAUUUUAUUGGCUAUCCAGAAAAGUCGAAAGGUUAUCGUUUCUACUGCCCUGGUAGACAUACCAAGUUUGUGGAAACGAGACACGCUAGUUUUCUAGAAGAUCAGAUGAUCAGGGGGAGCAAGGCAGCGCGAGAAAUUAACCUUGAAGAGAAGCGGGUGUUCGUGCCCAUUCCCAUGGUGCAAGAACCCUACUUUACGCUGCCCGUUGUUGUUGGAUCUACACCAGUAGUGACAACACCUGCUACUUUUCCGCCUAUGGCCAAUUUGGAACCUGUCCCUCAGGAGCCGAAUGAACCCAUAGUCGAAGAACAACAGCCCCAACAAGAGCAACCUCAAGAAGAAAUGCCAGUAGCAGAAACUUCUGGCAGACCUCAAAGAGCGAGAAAGUCUCCUAUUCCAGAUGACUAUAUAGUCUAUGAAUGCGAAGAGUUUCAGAUGGAGGAUGAACCCACUUCAUUUGAAGAAGCCAUGAGGAGCACCGAAGCAUCUAAGUGGCAAGAAGCCAUGGAAGAUGAAUUAAAGUCUAUGAGUACCAAUGAAGUUUGGGACCUAGAGGAAAUUCCUGAAGGAGCCAAAACAGUAGGCUGCAAAUGGGUCUACAAGGUGAAACGUGACUCCAAAGGGAACAUAGAAAGGUACAAAGCAAGACUGGUAGCCAAGGGUUUCACUCAGCGAGAAGGGAUAGAUUAUAAUGAAACAUUCUCUCCUGUCUCGAGCAAGGACUCUUUUAGAAUCAUAAUGGCCCUAGUGGCACAUUUUGAUCUAGAAUUGCAUCAAAUGGAUGUGAAGACAGCUUUUCUCAAUGGGGAUCUAGAAGAAAGAGUAUACAUGGCACAACCAAAAGGUUUUGUUGUGACAGGCAAAGAAAGAAUGGGCUGUCGCCUGAAGAAAUCCAUUUAUGGAUUAAAGGAAGCAUCCAGGCAGUGGUAUUUAAAGUUUGAUAAGACAAUCAGAAAGUUUGGGUUUAAAGAGAACGUUGAGGACAAUUGCGUAUAUGCAAAGUUUAAGAAUGGGAAAUACAUUUUCCUAGUACUGUAUGUAGAUGACAUUCUACUAGCCAGUAGUGAUGUCACUCUACUGUAGGAAACCAAGAGAUUUUUGUCCUCAAAUUUCGAUAUGAAAGAUUUAGGUGAAGCUUCUUUUGUCUUGGGCAUAAAGAUUCACCGAGAUAGAAGUCGAGGGGUAUUGGGAUUGUCCCAAGAGGCAUAUAUAGAGAAAAUAUUGAAGAAAUUCAAUAUGCAUAAGUGUAGACCUUCACCUGCUCCUAUUGUAAAAGGUGACAAGUAUGGGGAACAUCAAUGUCCCAAGAGCAAGUUCGAGCGCGAUCGCAUGCAAGCCGUUCCAUACGCUUCAGCUGUCGGAAGCUUACAGUAUGCUCAAGUGUGCACACGCCCAGACCUGGCUUUUGUGACCGGGUUACUUGGUAGAUAUCAAAGUAAUCCAGGUAUGGAACACUGGAAUCUAGUAAAGAAAGUCUUAAGGUACUUGCAAGGCACGAAAGGGCUCAUGUUAACCUAUAGAAGAUCUGAUGACCUACAAAUAGUAGGGUAUUCAGAUUCUGAUUACGCGGGAGAUGAUAGAAAGUCUACCUCAGGGUAUAUAUUCACUCUCGCGCAAGGAGCCAUAUCAUGGAAGAGCUCAAAACAAACAAUAGUCACUGCAUCGUCCACAAUGUAUGCUGAGUUUAUUGCUUGUUAUGAGGCAUCAGGACAGGUGAAUUGGCUUAAGAAAUUUAUACCCAGUUUAAAGGUGGUCGACAGCAUCGAUAAACCACUAAAGUUGUAUUGUGACAACGAGCCAGCAGUGUUGUAUGCUCACAACAACAAGUCAAGCAAUGCAGCCAAGCACAUUGACAUAAAAUAUUAUGUUGUCAAGGAUAAAAUCCGGGAUCACGUCAUAAGUCUUGAACAUAUAAGCACAGAAAAGAUGCUAGCGGAUCCGCUUACCAAAGGCUUACCGCCCAACGUGUUCAGAGAACAUGUAGCCGGCAUGGGUUUAAGGGAAAGCCUGUGAUUCCUGGAUAGUAAGGGGCCCAAGGCGAGAAUUCAUCUCUAAAUAGAAAAGUGUUUGUGGCUGUCUAAUCUAGCAGUGAUAACUGUCAAGAUGAAGCAUGCUCAAUACACUGAUUUGUGAUGGGGUGAGUUGACAAAGCGAGAUAGCACAGUUGAGAUCAAGGGGGAGAAUGUUAGGUUGAUCUCAGGCCCAGCCCAACGGCUGGGGCCUCUUACCCCCUGGAUCGCGCCCUGAUCGGGGGCGCCCAACCGAUCCAUGGUUGGUGGGCCCCCGACGCGCUGCGCUAUAUAAACAGGAGUGGGGGCCGCAGGCACGUAACCUGAAGUUCGCCGUGCACACAUCCCCACUCGACAAACCCUAGGCCUUCCGAUCGGCAGUGCGCAGUAGCGUCGGGAAGCACCACCGCGCCGCCUCCGUUCUACUCCUGCCCCGUCGUCGGUCAGUGCCGGUGGAGGCCCGAAGGACGACGUGAUCUACAUCGGCGCAGCACCUACACUCACGCCAUGGACGUCUCCGGAUCUGCUCCUUCCGCCAACGACGGUCGAAACCCUAAACUAUUGAUCUAUAUGUUUCUACUAAAUUGUAAUAGAUCUAGUGUAUGCACAUAUAUAUAAAUGUCACUGUAUGCAUUGUU
RNAcentral lists this long non-coding RNA (6516 nucleotides) under Sorghum bicolor (sorghum). RNAcentral's name for it is "long non-coding RNA (SBIC_LNC003976)". The record is from RNAcentral. Lineage: Eukaryota; Viridiplantae; Streptophyta; Magnoliopsida; Poales; Poaceae.